AUUGAACGCUGGCGGCAUGCCUUACACAUGCAAGUCGAACGGUAACGCGGGGCAACCUGGCGACGAGUGGCGAACGGGUGAGUAAUGUAUCGGAACGUGCCCAGUUGUGGGGGAUAACUACUCGAAAGAGUAGCUAAUACCGCAUACGACCUGAGGGUGAAAGCGGGGGAUCGCAAGACCUCGCGCAAUUGGAGCGACCGAUAUCAGAUUAGCUAGUUGGCGGGGUAAAAGCCCACCAAGGCGACGAUCUGUAGCUGGUCUGAGAGGACGACCAGCCACACUGGGACUGAGACACGGCCCAGACUCCUACGGGAGGCAGCAGUGGGGAAUUUUGGACAAUGGACGCAAGUCUGAUCCAGCCAUGCCGCGUGCGGGAAGAA
This 380-nucleotide ribosomal RNA is filed under the name uncultured bacterium. RNAcentral describes it as "bacterial SSU rRNA". It matches the Rfam family "Bacterial small subunit ribosomal RNA", at positions 29 to 412 of the family's 1533-position model. The record is from RNAcentral.